GCCUCUCUGGCGUACGUGGUAACGCACCCGUCUCGUACUCGGGAGAAGCCGGUUCGACUCCGGCGGGAGGCA
Molecule: transfer RNA, 72 nt
Filed under: Sandaracinaceae bacterium
Lineage: Bacteria; Pseudomonadati; Myxococcota; Polyangiales; Sandaracinaceae
Description: tRNA-Thr
Rfam family: tRNA
About the family: Transfer RNA (tRNA) molecules are approximately 80 nucleotides in length. Their secondary structure includes four short double-helical elements and three loops (D, anti-codon, and T loops). Further hydrogen bonds mediate the characteristic L-shaped molecular structure. tRNAs have two regions of fundamental functional importance: the anti-codon, which is responsible for specific mRNA codon recognition, and the 3' end, to which the tRNAs corresponding amino acid is attached (by aminoacyl-tRNA synthetases). tRNAs cope with the degeneracy of the genetic code in two manners: having more than one tRNA (with a specific anti-codon) for a particular amino acid; and 'wobble' base-pairing, i.e. permitting non-standard base-pairing at the 3rd anti-codon position.
Source: RNAcentral